UACGGAGGGUGCGAGCGUUGUCCGGAAUUACUGGGCGUAAAGGGCCAGUAGGCGGCCAACUAAGUCACACGUGAAAUCCCCAGGCUUAACCUGGGAACUGCGUGUGAUACUGGAUGGCUUGAAUUCGGGAGAGGGAUGCAGAAUUCCAGGUGUAGCGGUGAAAUGCGUAGAUAUCUGGAGGAAUACCGGUGGCGAAGGCGGCAUCCUGGACCGACAUUGACGCUGAACGGCGAAAGCUAGGGGAGCAAACGGG
This 253-nucleotide ribosomal RNA is filed under the name uncultured bacterium. Its description in RNAcentral is "partial 16S ribosomal RNA". It matches the Rfam family "Bacterial small subunit ribosomal RNA", at positions 524 to 776 of the family's 1533-position model. The record is from RNAcentral.